UUAGUACUAACAGCUGGACGGCAC
RNAcentral lists this unclassified non-coding RNA (24 nucleotides) under Mus musculus (house mouse). RNAcentral's name for it is "oocyte_clustered_small_RNA5315". Lineage: Eukaryota; Metazoa; Chordata; Mammalia; Rodentia; Muridae. The record is from RNAcentral.